AUUGACGCUGGCGGCAUGCCUUACACAUGCAAGUCGAACGGCAGCACGGGAGCAAUCCUGGUGGCGAGUGGCGAACGGGUGAGUAAAGUAUCGGAACGUGCCCAGUCGUGGGGGAUAACGUAGCGAAAGUUACGCUAAUACCGCAUACGAUCUAUGGAUGAAAGCGGGGGAUCGCAAGACCUCGCGCGAUUGGAGCGGCCGAUAUCAGAUUAGGUAGUUGGUGGGGUAAAGGCUCACCAAGCCGACGAUCUGUAGCUGGUCUGAGAGGACGACCAGCCACACUGGAACUGAGACACGGUCCAGACUCCUACGGGAGGCAGCAGUGGGGAAUUUUGGACAAUGGGCGCAAGCCUGAUCCAGCAAUGCCGCGUGCAGG
This 376-nucleotide ribosomal RNA is filed under the name uncultured bacterium. RNAcentral's name for it is "bacterial SSU rRNA". It matches the Rfam family "Bacterial small subunit ribosomal RNA", at positions 29 to 407 of the family's 1533-position model. The record is from RNAcentral.